ACGGGUGAGUAACGCGUGGGAACCUACCCUUAGCUUCGGAAUAACUGAGGGAAACUUGUGCUAAUGCCGGAUACGCCCUUACGGGGAAAGAUUUAUCGGCUAUGGAUGGGCCCGCGUCUGAUUAGCUAGUUGGUGAGGUAAUGGCUCACCAAGGCGACGAUCUUUAGCUGGUCUGAGAGGAUGAUCAGCCUCAUUGGGACUGAGACACGGCCCAAACUCCUACGGGAGGCAGCAGUGGGGAAUAUUGGACAAUGGGCGCAAGCCUGAUCCAGCCAUGCCGCGUGAAUGAUGAAGGCCUUAGGGUUGUAAAGUUCUUUUAACGGGGAAGAUAAUGACGGUACCCACAGAAUAAGCCCCGGCUAACUUCGUGCCAGCAGCCGCGGUAAUACGAAGGGGGCUAGCGUUGCUCGGAUUCACUGGGCGUAAAGCGCACGUAGGCGGACUCUUAAGUUAGAGGUGAAAUCCUGGAGCUCAACUCCAGAACUGCCUCUGAUACUGGGAACCUUGAGUUCGGAAGAGGUGAGUGGAACUGCUAGUGUAGAGGUGAAAUUCGUAGA
Molecule: ribosomal RNA, 557 nt
Filed under: uncultured bacterium
Lineage: Bacteria
Description: bacterial SSU rRNA
Rfam family: Bacterial small subunit ribosomal RNA
Source: RNAcentral